UUGUUCUUCAGAGUUCUGAGUUUCAUUUGGAGGAUGCUUAAGAAUCUGCUUACUUGACCUGAGACCUUGGCCUUGGUGAAACUGUUCUUAAAUCUUUCCCUUUGAACUACCAUGUGGAUGGGUGAAAAAGGCUGACUCCUUUCUUGGAUUUUCUAAAGGGACUAGCCUCAGGAGAAGACUCCCCACUUGAGAGAGGCUUUGUGAUAGAAGCCCUUGCUUUAUUCAUCCCCGGGCCCUCAGUUCAAGGCUGAGGCCUCUCCACCUGAGGACUAAUUAGCCCUGCCUGGGUUGAACCAGGGGCCAGAGCAAAAUACUUAGUAAUGCAGUGGGUGACCUUGGUGUCUUCAAUGUCUUACAAUGUUCUAAGCACUCUAUAACACCUACUUCAGCUACCUUCAUGACUGUUGGAACAAAUUGUUCUCAUCAACCAAUUCUUUCAGGAGAAAUCUUUAUAUACUUGGGCUAGACAUCACCUUGGUUAAGCCCAUCUUCUGAGAUAAUUUUACCAGUGUGACCUCUGUGCAUGCUACAGCUUCUUGGGCGCCCAAGUGAGAGUUGGGACAACAAAGAGAGUAGAGCACUCCCUGAUACCCCAGCUGCUGGCUACCAUCUCUUUCCCAAGCCUGCUUGCAACCUAUCAAUGUGUCUGCUGUACCAAGUUCCCCAAAAGGUAUAAAAGAUCCAGGACGUUCCUCCCAGAGAUACUGUCCCCAGAGCCCCAGGCUCCCAACUCUGUGUAGUGUCUCGGGGCCUGGCUCUGUGUAGCAGCCGAUUAUGGGACCUAUCCUUCUCCCGAUUAAAGACUUGGCUUUUGUGGACGACU
This is a long non-coding RNA of Monodelphis domestica (gray short-tailed opossum), 823 nucleotides long. Ensembl lists it as uncharacterized. NCBI's taxonomy places the organism in Eukaryota, Metazoa, Chordata, Mammalia, Didelphimorphia, Didelphidae. The record is from Ensembl.